GAGGGAAAGUUUCAACAUGGGGACCUCAGUCUGACCCUGAAGCAACCCACACCUGAAGAUGUAAAGAUUUACACCUGCAGCAUCUACAGCAAAGAGGAAACCAUCCUGAUGAAGAAACAGGUUCAUCUAAAGAUAAAAGUGAAGGAGAACGGAGUCCUCUGACCUCAGACCUUCUGGACCAGAAGGUUACACUUGAUUCUGCUGAGGUGCCUGUGGAAACAAA
Poecilia reticulata (guppy) is the source of this 223-nucleotide non-coding RNA. Lineage: Eukaryota; Metazoa; Chordata; Actinopteri; Cyprinodontiformes; Poeciliidae. The record is from RefSeq and is a predicted model, not a curated record.